Gallus gallus (chicken) is the source of this 554-nucleotide long non-coding RNA. RefSeq lists it as uncharacterized. Lineage: Eukaryota; Metazoa; Chordata; Aves; Galliformes; Phasianidae. The record is from RefSeq and is a predicted model, not a curated record. The transcript is spliced from 5 exons.
AAUACACAGGGAUUGUAGAAAGGGACUUAACAGCUUCUGUAAAGUAAGGAGAACUAUUUGCACUGCAUUUAGGAGUAUUUGCAUGAUCAGGCUCUAAAUCAUCAUAAAAAUGACAGCUUCAAAUUGCCUAUUGGACUUCAGAAGAAAAUAAUAAAGUGAAAAAUGACCCAUAUGGAUCAUGCCCUGAAACUGACCACCUCAAAAUGACUGUUGCAAUACACAUAGAAGUCAAUGGAAGGUUAUCAAGACUUACAGGAAUAAUUUGACACAGCUAAACAUCUGCUUUGUCUUCAAAGAUACAGAAGAAAAAAGAAAGAGAAGAAAGUUCUGAGAGAGGAAAUUGCACAGAAAUUGCAUAAAUCCUUACUGUCAAUUGCGUCAGCUAGUGAUUUCCUUACUCUAAACCAGAUGAAGAAUUUCAGUUCUAUGACAUUUGAGGUUUCAUAUUUGCUGUGUAAGCUACUGAGAAGAGAACCAGACUGUGAUGGUGCCGCAAGAGCUAAAACCCCCAAAAUGGCUCAUGAUGUGGAAUUAAGACAAAACAUGAUUUGCAA